CAGGACGAACGCUGGCGGUGUGCUUAACACAUGCAAGUCAAGGAGAACUUUAUCUUCGGAUAAAUAUUAAACUGGCGAACGGGUGAGUAACGCGUAAAUAACUUGCCUUGGAGAUUGGGAUAACAUUGGGAAACCAGUGCUAAUACCAAAUAAUGCAGCGGGCCCUUCGGGGCAUUUGUUGUUAAAGUAGGCUUCGGCUUACACUUUGAGAUAGAUUUGCGUCCGAUUAGUUUGUUGGUAGGGUAAUUGCCUACCAAGGCGAAGAUCGGUAGCUGGUCUGAGAGGAUGAUCAGCCACACUGGAAUUGAGAUACGGUCCAGACUCCUACGGGAGGCAGCAGUGAGGAAUUUUGCACAAUGGGCGAAAGCCUGAUGCAGCAACACCGCGUGAUUGAUGAAGUUUUUAGGAAUGUAAAAAUCUGUCGUAAGGGAAGAAAUGUUUCAGAUGUUAAUACCAUCUGUCAUUGACGGUACCUUACAAGAAAGGACCGGCUAACUUCGUGCCAGCAGCCGCGGUAAUACGAGGGGUCCUAGCGUUGUCCGGAUUUACUGGGCGUAAAGGGUACGUAGGCGUUUUAAAAAGUUAUGUGUUAAAUACUUUAGCUUAACUAAAGAAGUGCACAUAAAACUAUUAAAAUAGAGUUUGAGAGAGGAACGCAGAAUUCAUGGUGGAGCGGUGACAUGCGUAGAUAUCAUGAGGAAAGCCAAAUGCGAAGGCAGCCUUCUGGCUCAAAACUGACGCUGAGGUACGAAAGCGUGGGGAGCGAACAGGAUUAGAUACCCUGGUAGUCCACGCCGUAAACGAUGAGUAUUUGGUGCUGGGGGAUUCGACCCUUUCAGUGCCGUAGCUAACGCGAUAAAUACUCCGCCUGGGGACUACGAUCGCAAGAUUGAAACUCAAAGGAAU
Molecule: ribosomal RNA, 906 nt
Filed under: marine metagenome
Description: bacterial SSU rRNA
Rfam family: Bacterial small subunit ribosomal RNA
Source: RNAcentral